This 368-nucleotide ribosomal RNA is filed under the name Salmonella enterica. RNAcentral's name for it is "partial 23S ribosomal RNA". It matches the Rfam family "Bacterial large subunit ribosomal RNA", at positions 155 to 561 of the family's 2925-position model. RNAcentral also lists the same sequence under 1 other name. Lineage: Bacteria; Pseudomonadati; Pseudomonadota; Gammaproteobacteria; Enterobacterales; Enterobacteriaceae. The record is from RNAcentral.
UAACUGAAUCCAUAGGUUAAUGAGGCGAACCGGGGGAACUGAAACAUCUAAGUACCCCGAGGAAAAGAAAUCAACCGAGAUUCCCCCAGUAGCGGCGAGCGAACGGGGAGGAGCCCAGAGCCUGAAUCAGCAUGUGUGUUAGUGGAAGCGUCUGGAAAGGCGCGCGAUACAGGGUGACAGCCCCGUACACAAAAGCGCAUGUGCUGUGAGCUCGAUGAGUAGGGCGGGACACGUGGUAUCCUGUCUGAAUAUGGGGGGACCAUCCUCCAAGGCUAAAUACUCCUGACUGACCGAUAGUGAACCAGUACCGUGAGGGAAAGGCGAAAAGAACCCCGGCGAGGGGAGUGAAAAAGAACCUGAAACCGUGU